CGCCCUCCCUCCCUCCCUUUCCCCCUCCUUCCUUCCUCUCUGUAGGUGGAGGUACAGACUGUUCUAUCGCCCCCAAACUCUUUGUGACCCACGAAGCUCAUUAAGAGGAGCAGCUCGUCCGUCCGAAGAGGAAGUGAUGUCGACGUUUGACAUUUCACCUAUCACCCCUUAUUGACCUUUGGCCCCAAACAAAGAUGGCCUCGGUCCAGGGACCUGAGUCAACAGAAAGGUGUGGUGCGGCGGUUAGCUGCGUUGCCCGUGUCCGUCAGGUCUUUCUGAAUACUGUUGUGGACCUGGAGGAAGCUGUGGUCCCGUUCCAACGUGGUUGAGUUAUAGGCGGCUGUCGGCGUGC
This is a non-coding RNA of Salmo salar (Atlantic salmon), 352 nucleotides long. Lineage: Eukaryota; Metazoa; Chordata; Actinopteri; Salmoniformes; Salmonidae. The record is from RefSeq and is a predicted model, not a curated record.